AGUGAACGCUGGCGGUAGGCCUAACACAUGCAAGUCGAACGGCAGCACAGUAAGAGCUUGCUCUUACGGGUGGCGAGUGGCGGACGGGUGAGGAAUACAUCGGAAUCUACUUUUUCGUGGGGGAUAACGUAGGGAAACUUACGCUAAUACCGCAUACGACCUACGGGUGAAAGCAGGGGAUCUUCGGACCUUGCGCGAUUGAAUGAGCCGAUGUCGGAUUAGCUAGUUGGCGGGGUAAAGGCCCACCAAGGCGACGAUCCGUAGCUGGUCUGAGAGGAUGAUCGGCCACACUGGAACUGAGAAACGGCCCAGACUCCUACGGGAGGCAGCAGGGGGGAAUAUGGGAAAAUGGGCGCAAGCCGAUCCAGCCAUACCGCGUGGGUGAAGAAGGCCUUCGGGUUGUAAAGCCCUUUUGUUGGGAAAGAAAAGCAGCAGGUUAAUACCCCGCUGUUCUGACGGUACCCAAAGAAUAAGCACCGGCUAACUUCGUG
This 491-nucleotide ribosomal RNA is filed under the name uncultured bacterium. Its description in RNAcentral is "partial 16S ribosomal RNA". It matches the Rfam family "Bacterial small subunit ribosomal RNA", at positions 29 to 507 of the family's 1533-position model. The record is from RNAcentral.